Molecule: long non-coding RNA, 494 nt
Filed under: Homo sapiens (human)
Lineage: Eukaryota; Metazoa; Chordata; Mammalia; Primates; Hominidae
Description: non-protein coding LINC01184:18
Source: RNAcentral
CGGGCGAUGCUGGGGGCUUUCCGGUCGGGGCCGCAGCCGCUUCCGGAGCCGCGGGCGAGGUGCAAGCGGUCUUCUCUGUCUUCUUUAUGGCCAGUAAAAUUCUCCAGAAGAGAUUUAUGGCAGCCUCACUCCCAGUAGUUUCUGCAUUUAGUGAGAUAAGAUGGAAUCUUGCUCUCUUGCUCAGACUGGAGUGCAGUGGCAUGACCUUGGCUCACUGCAACCUCACCUCUCGGGUUCAAGCGAUUCUGCCUCAGCCUCUCGAGUAGCUGGGACUACAGGUGGGAGACCUCCACAGAACCCUUCCAGCAAGCUGUCUUCUAAAGCAAACAAGAAAAGGAAAGUCUGAGCAGUUUUGAUUAGAUUUCCCAGAAGUCAAAGCAAGGAAAAAUGAAAAAGCUUCAUUUCUCACGUUCUUAAAAGAGAGCACAGAUGUUGCAUCAUCUGGUUAGAUACCCUGAGAAUAAAAUCUGGAUCCAGUGAGAGGAAAGAUUCUG